Molecule: ribosomal RNA, 200 nt
Filed under: uncultured bacterium
Lineage: Bacteria
Description: partial 16S ribosomal RNA
Rfam family: Bacterial small subunit ribosomal RNA
Source: RNAcentral
GAUGAACGCUAGCGGCAGGCUUAACACAUGCAAGUCGAGGGGUAUAGAGAGCUUGCUUCCUAGAGACCGGCGCACGGGUGCGUACGCGUAUGCAAUCUACCUUUUACAGGGGGAUAGCCCAGAGAAAUUUGGAUUAAUACCCCACGGUAUUAUGGAAUGGCAUCAUUCUGUAAUUAAAGUCACAACGGUAAAAGAUGAGC